CUUUCAACACGUUGUAAAAUUGAAAUUUACUGGUGAUUUUAUACUCUGAAUGCACUGUAAAUCUCUGGAAUAAUAGAAUGAAGGAAAAAUAUUUUCUAGGGCCAAAGAACUUAAAAAGGUUUUUCCAGAAGCAAGCCAAAUGCAUGCUUAUAUUUGAUUUACAGACAGAUAAGGAAAACUGUCAA
Non-coding RNA from Zonotrichia albicollis (white-throated sparrow), 185 nucleotides. The record is from RefSeq and is a predicted model, not a curated record. NCBI's taxonomy places the organism in Eukaryota, Metazoa, Chordata, Aves, Passeriformes, Passerellidae.